CAGCGGCCCUAGUGGUGAUCGUUAUUAUUGGGCCUAAAGCGUCCGUAGCCGGUUCGGUAAAUCUCUGGGUAAAUCGUUGGGCUUAACUCAGCGAAUUCUGGGGAGACUGCCGAACUUGGGACCGGGAGAGGUCGGAGGUACUCCAGGGGUAGGGGUGAAAUCCUGUAAUCCUUGGGGGACCACCGGUGGCGAAAGCGUCCGACCAGAACGGGUCCGACGGUAAGGGACGAAGCCCUGGGUCGCGAACCGGAUUAGAUACCCGAGUAGCC
Molecule: ribosomal RNA, 269 nt
Filed under: uncultured archaeon
Lineage: Archaea
Description: partial 16S ribosomal RNA
Rfam family: Archaeal small subunit ribosomal RNA
Source: RNAcentral